UACGUAGGGUGCAAGCGUUAAUCGGAAUUACUGGGCGUAAAGCGUGCGCAGGCGGCUUUGCAAGACAGAUGUGAAAUCCCCGGGCUUAACCUGGGAACUGCAUUUGUGACUGCAUGGCUAGAGUGCGGCAGAGGGGGAUGGAAUUCCGCGUGUAGCAGUGAAAUGCGUAGAGAUGCGGAGGAACACCGAUGGCGAAGGCAGCCCCCUGGGCCAAUACUGACGCUCAGGCACGAAAGCGUGGGGAGCAAACAGG
This 253-nucleotide ribosomal RNA is filed under the name uncultured bacterium. RNAcentral describes it as "partial 16S ribosomal RNA". It matches the Rfam family "Bacterial small subunit ribosomal RNA", at positions 524 to 776 of the family's 1533-position model. The record is from RNAcentral.